AUUGAACGCUGGCGGCAUGCCUUACACAUGCAAGUCGAACGCGAAAGCGGAGCAAUCCGCAAGUAGAGUGGCGAACGGGUGAGUAAUACAUCGGAACAUUUCCAGUAGCGGGGGAUAACCUGUCGAAAGAUAGGCUAAUACCGCAUACGCCCUACGGGGGAAAGCGGAGGACCGCAAGGCUUCGCAAUAUUGGAGUGGCCGAUGUCGGAUUAGCUAGUUGGCGGGGUAAAAGCCCACCAAGGCUACGAUCCGUAGCUGGUCUGAGAGGACGAUCAGCCACACUGGAACUGAGACACGGUCCAGACUCCUACGGGAGGCAGCAGUGGGGAAUUUUGGACAAUGGGCGCAAGCCUGAUCCAGCCAUGCCGCGUGAGUGAAGAAGGCCUUCGGGUUGUAAAGCUCUUUCGGUGGGGACGAAACGGUUCGUGCUAAUACCAUGAACUAAUGACGGUACCCGAAGAAGAAGCACCGGCUAACUACGUGCCAGCAGCCGCCGUAA
RNAcentral lists this ribosomal RNA (499 nucleotides) under uncultured bacterium. Its description in RNAcentral is "partial 16S ribosomal RNA". It matches the Rfam family "Bacterial small subunit ribosomal RNA", at positions 30 to 523 of the family's 1533-position model. The record is from RNAcentral.